This is a long non-coding RNA of Ornithodoros turicata, 982 nucleotides long. RefSeq lists it as uncharacterized. NCBI's taxonomy places the organism in Eukaryota, Metazoa, Arthropoda, Arachnida, Ixodida, Argasidae. The transcript is spliced from 6 exons. The record is from RefSeq and is a predicted model, not a curated record.
GUGCUGUUCAUGGCGUCUUUGUGCUUGUGCGCGAAGUUUUGUGCGCUGAAGUGGUGGUGUAAAAGGCAAGUGUUCACUCACCAGGCAGGGAGGCAUGGGGAUACUUCUUUUUGCCUGUUCGGUGCAUGCACCAGUCAUGACAAUUGCAAAGUCACAUAAAGCUGAUGCAUGGAGACACCUCUCUCUAAAAAUCCAACAUGUUGCGGACAACAUCACAGAAAGAGGUAGGAAUGGUGACACAGACUUUGUGCAGCCUGAUGUGCUGGUGCACUUCAAAAGCGACGUCAUCCUUGCUUCAAAACCCGGGUUCAGUGUCCUUCGUGACAAUUUCUGAAACUUCGCUUCUAACAGAAGACCAAGCCUACCAAAGGUGUCUGUCACAAGGGGCACCUCUGAUUCCAUUACCUUCAUGAAGUCUAGAACUCUGCAACAGAGAUCAGCUGAGCUCUUACUGACCCACUUUCAGCCUCACACAUGUCAUGCUCACCCAAUGGGCAUCCAAGAGAAUCCUCAGUGCAUCGUGAGGGACAGUGUAACGCGGACACUACUAGUAGCGGUGCAGUGCAGUGCGGACAAAACUAAAGAUUUUUUGUAGGGACAUUGUGAUGCAUCACUGUUUCUGGAUAUCCAUGUGUGUUUUGUGCUACUUGUGCAUCGUAUAGAACUAACGUGGGAAAAUUACACAUCUAUGACAAUAUUCCUCAGGUGGUACACGUGUGGCACGCAACUGGUAUAGGCUUUAGAGAGGUUCCUCUCUGUAACGCUGCUUCGUAUGUUGCUGCUGCGCAGGUGGCUUCAUCCGUCCUGUCAUCAUCUACACAGUCAUAUGCCAGAUCUCCAACAGGCAAAGCAGCAAAGCAGAUUGUGGAGCUGAAAUUGUGUCAUCACAGUCACAGGGAUCUAGUGGUGUACAGGGUACACAUGUCAUCUGUAUGUCUAUGUCUGUAUGUCUUCCUGCAAGGAACAAGAGAUUUCAUUUUCA